This 218-nucleotide microRNA precursor is filed under the name Triticum aestivum (bread wheat). RNAcentral describes it as "miR1123 stem-loop (tae-MIR1123)". Lineage: Eukaryota; Viridiplantae; Streptophyta; Magnoliopsida; Poales; Poaceae. The record is from miRBase by way of RNAcentral.
AAAAAAAUUAUAUGAGACCAGGUCUCAUAUAAAUCAGGUGAGACCCGCCCUGAUGAAUGACAUGUGGCAUUCACAAAUCACAAAGCAUCUAAUCUCUCCCCCCCUGAUUUCAGGUGGGGGGUGGGGUGGAUGCUUUGUGAUUUGUGAAUGACACGUGUCAUCCAUCAGGAUGGGUCUCACCUGCUAAUCCGUGAGACCUGGUCUCAUAGAAUUUUUUU